CUACUGCUGAAGAGUCCCAAACUAGGGCGAAACAGCUGUCCAGUAC
RNAcentral lists this non-coding RNA (46 nucleotides) under Trichobilharzia regenti. Lineage: Eukaryota; Metazoa; Platyhelminthes; Trematoda; Strigeidida; Schistosomatidae. The record is from RNAcentral.